GAGGAAUCUGCUGUGUUCAUGGUGGUCCCGUGUGGUCCUGGGUGGGGCUGUGUGGCGCCCCGCCCUUGGGAAGGUCUGGAACUGCGCCAGCCGCACCGCACAGGGAGCCCAGGCUCCCGGCCGGCCUCCGGGGGCUGCUGUUCUCUGUGGUUCUGCGAAGUGGGUGCCGCGGUCGUGGUGGCCUUCGGGGCCCUGGGAGCUCCCUCCCCGCAGCUCACGUGUGCUUUCCUCCCCUGUCCCAUCUCAGCAGGGUGCGGCGCAAGGAGUUCCGGCGGCCUUCCAAGACCCCAGGCCAGUGCUCCCUGGCCACCAUGGGCCCCAAGCUCCCCUCCCUGCGCAGGCCUGACGGCCCCAGGACCACGUUCUGUGGAGCCACGCCCAGGCCGCUGCAGCCACCCAUCUCCUGGAGCUCCACUUCGAGCAGCAGCACGGACAGCUCCUCGUGCCGGAAGGUCCCAGACCACCACGAGCAAGACCCAGGACGGCCCACCGCAGAAGGCCGCGCUGAGAAGGAAGGGCUGGCUUCAGGUGCGUGCUCUGUGCUUUGGUCCUGCCGGGAUCUGCCCAAGCCUGAUUUGGAGAGAACUGGAUAUGUAUUGUUUAGAGAGCUAAAUAUUUUAUUUCCUUUUAAAAAAAGAUUAUUUAUUUGAAAGGCAGAGUUACAGAGAGAGAGAGAGAGAGAGAGAGAGGUCUUCAUCUGCUGGCUCACUCCCAAGAUGGCUGCAAUGGCCAGAGCUGGGCUGAUGUUUUCUAAGAUUUAUUUAUUUGAAAGGCAGAACUACAGAAAGAGGGGCACACACACACACACACACACACACACAGGUCUUCCAUCUGCUGGCUCACUCCCCAGGUGACCACAAUGACCAGGACUGGGCCAGGCCGAAGCCAGGAGCCAGGAGCUUAUUCCAUAUCUCCCACGUGGGUGCAGGGGCCCAAGCCCUUGGGCCGUCUUCUGCUGCUUCCCAGGCCACAGCAGAGAGCUGGAUCGGAAGUGGAGCAGCCGGGACUCGAACCAGCGCCCAUAAGGGAUACUGGCACUGCAGACGGCGGCUUAACCUGCUACACCACAGUGCUGGCCCUGUAAAUAUUUUCAAAUCGGCAGGGGAGAGUCCACACACUUCUCUGGAUACAUCGGCGGGGGCCGCACGCUGCGGGCCUGUGUCCACCUGCAGCCUUGCAGCUGUGCGGGCAGAAGUGGGCUUCUGGUGGUCGGCUCGGCGCGCACUGCCUCCGUCUGUGCUCAGGGUCUCUGCUGAGAAUCAGUUGUCCCGAGUACACUGAUGCGAGGACUUCCAGCAGCGACGGCGUUUUAGGAGAGAAGCUCUUGGCCUGUGUGCGCUGGCUGGAGGGUUGGAGGAUGCCCAGAGUGCAGUGGGGACUGCCGCGCCCGGCGCUGGCCGCCCCGAGAGCCAGAGGGGGUCCAUUUGCUGACACACAGCAGCGGGUGCCCCCACCUUGCCCUCCGGUGCGGGCGAGUGAGACUGGGCCACCAGCACUCGGCGAGCAGAGGAGCGCCGUGUGUGUGCAUGUGUGUGCGUGUGUGUGUGUGUGUGUGUGUGUCCAUGUGCACUCCAGUUAUUCUUGAGCAUCCAGGACAGGGAAGUGCAAGGGC
Long non-coding RNA from Oryctolagus cuniculus (rabbit), 1612 nucleotides. NCBI's taxonomy places the organism in Eukaryota, Metazoa, Chordata, Mammalia, Lagomorpha, Leporidae. The record is from Ensembl.